This 1500-nucleotide ribosomal RNA is filed under the name metagenome. Its description in RNAcentral is "bacterial SSU rRNA". It matches the Rfam family "Bacterial small subunit ribosomal RNA". The record is from RNAcentral.
AGAGUUUGAUCAUGGCUCAGAUUGAGCGCUGGCGGCAGGCCUAACACAUGCAAGUCGAACGGUAACAGGAAGAAGCUUGCUUCUUUGCUGACGAGUGGCGGACGGGUGAGUAAUGUCUGGGAAACUGCCUGAUGGAGGGGGAUAACUACUGGAAACGGUAGCUAAUACCGCAUAACGUCGCAAGACCAAAGAGGGGGACCUUCGGGCCUCUUGCCAUCGGAUGUGCCCAGAUGGGAUUAGCUAGUAGGUGGGGUAACGGCUCACCUAGGCGACGAUCCCUAGCUGGUCUGAGAGGAUGACCAGCCACACUGGAACUGAGACACGGUCCAGACUCCUACGGGAGGCAGCAGUGGGGAAUAUUGCACAAUGGGCGCAAGCCUGAUGCAGCCAUGCCGCGUGUAUGAAGAAGGCCUUCGGGUUGUAAAGUACUUUCAGCGGGGAGGAAGGGAGUAAAGUUAAUACCUUUGCUCAUUGACGUUACCCGCAGAAGAAGCACCGGCUAACUCCGUGCCAGCAGCCGCGGUAAUACGGAGGGUGCAAGCGUUAAUCGGAAUUACUGGGCGUAAAGCGCACGCAGGCGGUUUGUUAAGUCAGAUGUGAAAUCCCCGGGCUCAACCUGGGAACUGCAUCUGAUACUGGCAAGCUUGAGUCUCGUAGGGGGGGGUAGAAUUCCAGGUGUAGCGGUGAAAUGCGUAGAGAUCUGGAGGAAUACCGGUGGCGAAGGCGGCCCCCUGGACGAAGACUGACGCUCAGGUGCGAAAGCGUGGGGAGCAAACAGGAUUAGAUACCCUGGUAGUCCACGCCGUAAACGAUGUCGACUUGGAGGUUGUGCCCUUGAGGCGUGGCUUCCGGAGCUAACGCGUUAAGUCGACCGCCUGGGGAGUACGGCCGCAAGGUUAAAACUCAAAUGAAUUGACGGGGGCCCGCACAAGCGGUGGAGCAUGUGGUUUAAUUCGAUGCAACGCGAAGAACCUUACCUGGUCUUGACAUCCACGGAAGUUUUCAGAGAUGAGAAUGUGCCUUCGGGAACCGUGAGACAGGUGCUGCAUGGCUGUCGUCAGCUCGUGUUGUGAAAUGUUGGGUUAAGUCCCGCAACGAGCGCAACCCUUAUCCUUUGUUGCCAGCGGUCCGGCCGGGAACUCAAAGAAGACUGCCAGUGAUAAACUGGAGGAAGGUGGGGAUGACGUCAAGUCAUCAUGCCCCUUACGACCAGGGCUACACACGUGCUACAAUGGCGCAUACAAAGAGAAGCGACCUCGCGAGAGCAAGCGGACCUCAUAAAGUGCGUCGUAGUCCGGAUUGGAGUCUGCAACUCGACUCCAUGAAGUCGGAAUCGCUAGUAAUCGUGGAUCAGAAUGCCACGGUGAAUACGUUCCCGGGCCUUGUACACACCGCCCGUCACACCAUGGGAGUGGGUUGCAAAAGAAGUAGGUAGCUUAACCUUCGGGAGGGCGCUUACCACUUUGUGAUUCAUGACUGGGGUGAAGUCGUAACAAGGUA